Molecule: ribosomal RNA, 77 nt
Filed under: Acacia crassicarpa (northern wattle)
Lineage: Eukaryota; Viridiplantae; Streptophyta; Magnoliopsida; Fabales; Fabaceae
Description: partial 26S ribosomal RNA
Rfam family: Eukaryotic large subunit ribosomal RNA (bases 17-77)
Source: RNAcentral
GCCGCCAGCUCGUACGCGACCCCAGGUCAGGCGGGGCUACCCGCUGAGUUUAAGCAUAUCAAUAAGCGGAGGAAAAG